GAUUGCUCUUCCUUUUUGUCAACAUUUUAGUGUGUUGUUAGUGAUUGCUCUGCUGUAAAUCCAUAUUCCAGAAGAAUAUACAAAUUCAAAUUGUACUUUGUUACUAUAGCUUAUUUUCAAAAUGGAACUUUAAUUAUUCAGUUUUUGUGAAAAGCUAAAUUUAUGUUUUCUUUUUGGUCGAGAGGUUGAGUAUCGAGGAGACACCAACUCCAUCUACACCAUCACGCUUACUAGA
Arabidopsis thaliana (thale cress) is the source of this 235-nucleotide long non-coding RNA. RefSeq annotates it as other RNA. The transcript has a single exon. The record is from RefSeq. Lineage: Eukaryota; Viridiplantae; Streptophyta; Magnoliopsida; Brassicales; Brassicaceae.